Non-coding RNA from Vicia faba (fava bean), 300 nucleotides. The record is from the annotation of a GenBank genome assembly. Lineage: Eukaryota; Viridiplantae; Streptophyta; Magnoliopsida; Fabales; Fabaceae.
UCUUCUUCCUCACAACUUUCCGUUGCGGGUACCUUAUCCAGUGAACCUCGACAAUCCACCACCAUCAGACAAAUUCGUCCACCGCUUCAACCUUAUCUUUCAUAUCCAUACUUUGUUUCACGUCAAGGUUCGACGUUGUUCUGCUUCACCUUCAUCAUUCAACCUUCACUGCGUGCGAUUCGCUCGGUUCUCCUCUUGAGUCCGUACCACCGCCACGAUUCGAUUCGUUCUCAUCUCCGUCCGUCAUCAUCUCAUCCUUUCUGUGGCUCGUUCUACUUCUCCGUCUCCGAUUCAACUUAA